CCUUGAUAGCAACGGGACCCGUGAACUCGCAUCGAUGAAGAACGUAGCGAAAUGCGAUACCUGGUGUGAAUUGCAGAAUCCCGCGAACCAUCGAGUCUUUGAACGCAAGUUGCGCCCGAGGCCACUCGGCCGAGGGCACGCCUGCCUGGGCGUCA
RNAcentral lists this ribosomal RNA (155 nucleotides) under Triticum aestivum (bread wheat). RNAcentral describes it as "rRNA 5_8S_rRNA". The stretch from base 26 to 155 matches the Rfam family "5.8S ribosomal RNA", at positions 27 to 154 of the family's 154-position model. Rfam says of the family: 5.8S ribosomal RNA (5.8S rRNA) is a component of the large subunit of the eukaryotic ribosome. It is transcribed by RNA polymerase I as part of the 45S precursor that also contains 18S and 28S rRNA. Lineage: Eukaryota; Viridiplantae; Streptophyta; Magnoliopsida; Poales; Poaceae. The record is from Rfam by way of RNAcentral.